RNAcentral lists this ribosomal RNA (1092 nucleotides) under Ascochyta rabiei. RNAcentral describes it as "SSU rRNA". It matches the Rfam family "Eukaryotic small subunit ribosomal RNA", at positions 56 to 1163 of the family's 1831-position model. Lineage: Eukaryota; Fungi; Ascomycota; Dothideomycetes; Pleosporales; Didymellaceae. The record is from RNAcentral.
UGUCUAGUAUAAGCAUUAUACCGUGAAACUGCGAAUGGGCUCAUUAAAUCAGUUAUCGUUUAUUUGAUAGUACCUUACUACUUGGAUAACCGUGGUAAUUCUAGAGCUAAUACAUGCUGAAAACCCCAACUUCGGGAGGGGUGUAUUUAUUAGAUAAAAAACCAACGCCCUUCGGGGCUUCUUGGUGAUUCAUGAUAACUUCACGGAUCGCAUGGCCUUGCGCCGGCGACGGUUCAUUCAAAUUUCUGCCCUAUCAACUUUCGAUGGUAAGGUAUUGGCUUACCAUGGUUUCAACGGGUAACGGGGAAUUAGGGUUCGAUUCCGGAGAGGGAGCCUGAGAAACGGCUACCACAUCCAAGGAAGGCAGCAGGCGCGCAAAUUACCCAAUCCCGACACGGGGAGGUAGUGACAAUAAAUACUGAUACAGGGCUCUUUUGGGUCUUGUAAUUGGAAUGAGUACAAUUUAAACCUCUUAACGAGGAACAAUUGGAGGGCAAGUCUGGUGCCAGCAGCCGCGGUAAUUCCAGCUCCAAUAGCGUAUAUUAAAGUUGUUGCAGUUAAAAAGCUCGUAGUUGAAACUUGGGCCUGGCUGGCAGGUCCGCCUCACCGCGUGUACUUGUCCGGCCGGGCCUUUCCUUCUGGAGAACCUCAUGCCCUUCACUGGGUGUGUUGGGGAACCAGGACUUUUACUUUGAAAAAAUUAGAGUGUUCAAAGCAGGCCUUUGCUCGAAUACGUUAGCAUGGAAUAAUAGAAUAGGACGUGCGGUCCUAUUUUGUUGGUUUCUAGGACCGCCGUAAUGAUUAAUAGGGACAGUCGGGGGCAUCAGUAUUCAAUUGUCAGAGGUGAAAUUCUUGGAUUUAUUGAAGACUAACUACUGCGAAAGCAUUUGCCAAGGAUGUUUUCAUUAAUCAGUGAACGAAAGUUAGGGGAUCGAAGACGAUCAGAUACCGUCGUAGUCUUAACCGUAAACUAUGCCGACUAGGGAUCGGGCGAUGUUCUUUUUCUGACUCGCUCGGCACCUUACGAGAAAUCAAAGUUUUGGGUUCUGGGGGGAGUAGGUCGCAGGGUGAAACUUAAGAAUUGACGGAAGG